AGCGAGGUGGAGCAGCCUGGAGUGCUCGUCGGGCUCAUAACCCGAAGGCCGUAGGUUCAAAUCCUGCCCUCGCUA
RNAcentral lists this transfer RNA (75 nucleotides) under Candidatus Aenigmatarchaeota archaeon. RNAcentral describes it as "tRNA-Met". It matches the Rfam family "tRNA". From Rfam's summary of the family: Transfer RNA (tRNA) molecules are approximately 80 nucleotides in length. Their secondary structure includes four short double-helical elements and three loops (D, anti-codon, and T loops). The record is from RNAcentral. Lineage: Archaea; Nanobdellati; Candidatus Aenigmatarchaeota.